This is a long non-coding RNA of Gymnodraco acuticeps, 604 nucleotides long. RefSeq lists it as uncharacterized. NCBI's taxonomy places the organism in Eukaryota, Metazoa, Chordata, Actinopteri, Perciformes, Bathydraconidae. The record is from RefSeq and is a predicted model, not a curated record. The transcript has 2 exons.
AAAUUCUGCUGUGAUAAAACGCCAUCCUGUUCCAAACCACAUCAAAGAUUAUUUCUGAAACAGCAUGGAGCUCAAAUGCUUGUUCUCUUGCAGGUUUAUCACAAGCUUGUGGCUCUUUUGACACCUUGAGAGCGGUUACCGCGGGGAUGAAGACAAUGAAGCACAGGAUGCAGGCGGCCUACGCAAAGGACUCCAACCAACUUCCUGGGCCAGAGAAUCAGAGACAAGCUGUCCUUAUUGUCUCUGCUAAUAAAUGAAGUCUCUGUUAAUAAAUUAAAGUAUAAAGUUUGCAUAUUUGAAAUUAAAUGUUUAAAGAAAAAAACUUGAUUCUAAACAUGACAUGAACAAUGUGUUCUGCUUUCAUGAAACAUGUUCAUUUCCCCUCUCGUUAAAAUUGCAUAUUAUUACUAUAAGUCUUUAUUUGUUUUAAUUUUAACUUUACAUUUGUAAUUGUUCAUUAAGUAAAAGCUCUUUUAGAAGGCUUUAUUCGGACAUUUGACUUGUUGCUUUUGUAUUUUGACUUUGUGUCUUUUGUUAUUUUUUGGAUUCUUGUAAAUCCUCUAUUUUUGUUAAAACCUUAAUAAAACCGGUUUGUACUUUUGGA